RNAcentral lists this ribosomal RNA (253 nucleotides) under uncultured bacterium. RNAcentral describes it as "partial 16S ribosomal RNA". It matches the Rfam family "Bacterial small subunit ribosomal RNA", at positions 524 to 776 of the family's 1533-position model. The record is from RNAcentral.
UACGUAGGGUGCGAGCGUUGUCCGGAUUUAUUGGGCGUAACGAGCUCGUAGGCGGUUUGUCGCGUCGGCCGUGAAAUCUCCACGCUUAACGUGGAGCGUGCGGUCGAUACGGGCAGACUUGAGUUCGGUAGGGGAGACUGGAAUUCCCGGUGUAGUGGUGGAAUGCGUAGAUAUCGGGAGGAACACCAGUGGCGAAGGCGGUUGCCUGGAGCUUUGCUGACGCUGAUGCGCGAAAGCGUGGGGAGCGAUCCGG